This 368-nucleotide unclassified non-coding RNA is filed under the name fungal sp. RNAcentral's name for it is "partial internal transcribed spacer region". The stretch from base 1 to 46 matches the Rfam family "Eukaryotic small subunit ribosomal RNA", at positions 1786 to 1831 of the family's 1831-position model. Lineage: Eukaryota; Fungi. The record is from RNAcentral.
AAGUCGUAACAAGGUUUCCGUAGGUGAACCUGCGGAAGGAUCAUUAUCACGUAUCCACGUAUCAACCAUUGUGAACUGUGCUUACCGUUAAAAAAUUUUGGAAAGAGUGUGAUAAUAAACGUUUCUUUCUUCACGAAGGAAGAGGUAAAAGUGAUUUGAUUUACCUUAGUUUAUUAUUUACCAACAAUUUUAACGAAUUGUCUUUCUAAUUUUUAACGAGUAUUUUCAAAUCAAUUUCAUUAACAAUUUAAACCCAAUUUUAAUAAAUUGUGAACUGAAAUAAUUUCUUACUCGUUUUUUACGAAAUGAGAAGAAAUAAUCAUUACGAAACAUAAGAACAACUCUUAGCAACGGAUAUCUUGGUUCUC